Molecule: ribosomal RNA, 151 nt
Filed under: Taxus wallichiana
Lineage: Eukaryota; Viridiplantae; Streptophyta; Pinopsida; Cupressales; Taxaceae
Description: partial 28S ribosomal RNA
Rfam family: Eukaryotic large subunit ribosomal RNA
Source: RNAcentral
CGGCCCCAGGUCAGGCGUGAGUACCCGCUGAGUUUAAGCAUAUCACUAAGCGGAGGAAAAGAAACUUACCAGGAUUCCCCUAGUAACGGCGAGCGAACCGGGAAGAGCCCAGCAUGAAAAUCGGCCGAUCUACGCGCCGAAUUGUAGCAGG